This 324-nucleotide ribosomal RNA is filed under the name uncultured eukaryote. RNAcentral describes it as "partial 18S ribosomal RNA". It matches the Rfam family "Eukaryotic small subunit ribosomal RNA", at positions 1470 to 1796 of the family's 1831-position model. The record is from RNAcentral.
CCCUUAGAUGUCCUGGGCUGCACGCGCGCUACACUGAUGUGUCCAGUAAGCACCUAACCUCUUCCGAAAGGAACGGGUAACCUUUGCAAAGCACAUCGUGAUGGGGAUAGAUUAUUGCAAUUAUUAGUCUUGAACGAGGAAUUCCUAGUAAGCACAAGUCAUCAGCUUGUGUUGAUUACGUCCCUGCCCUUUGUACACACCGCCCGUCGCUCCUACCGAUUGAAUGUUCCGGUGAGCUCUUCGGACUGCGCGGUCUGCAGUUUCUGCGUUCCGUGCGGAAAGUUGCGCAAACCUUAACAUUUAGUGGAAGGAGAAGUCGUAACA